CUAAACUACGCUGUCCUCACUCUCAUACCUAAAGUUAAAGGGGCUGACAAGAUUUCUCAGUUCAGACCUAUAGCCCUCAUCAAUAACUUUGCUAAAUUUCUAGCAAAAGGUUUUGCUACUAGGUUAUCCCCCAUCGCUCACCGUACCCUCAAUCCUUUCCAGUUGGCCUUUGUUAAAGGCAGGUUCAUCCUGGACGGCAUCCUAUGUCUGCAUGAGAUCGUCCAUGACCUGCGUGUUUGUGGUACUAGAGCGGUGGUCCUUAAGCUUGAUUUCGAGAAAGCUUAUGAUUCGGUCAGUUGGAACUUUCUUCGUCAGGUGUUACUGGCCAAGGGCUUUGAUGGGGUUGUGGUUCACAGACUUAUGCAGUUGGUCACAGGUGGCCACACUGCGGUUUUGGUUAACAUGAAUAUCAGUAAUUUUUUCGCAAACGGCAGGGGCCUGAGGCAUGGUGACCCAGCUUCCCCCCUUCUCUUUAACUUCGUGGCUGACUCUCUCUUCCACAUCCUGACUCGGGCUGCAGCUGCUGGUCAUAUCACCCCUGUUAGCUCCCAUCUUGCUCCUAAUGGCAUAUCCCACCUCCAAUACGCGGAUGAUACCAUCAUUAUGGUUGAACUUAACGAUGAAAGUGUGGCUCACUUGAAGUUCCUUCUCCUUUGCUUCGAAGCACUUUCUGGUCUCAAAAUUAAUUUUGCCAAGGGUGAAGUUAUUGUUACUGGGGUGUCGGACGCUGAGUCCCUUAGAGUUGCUCAUUUACUAAACUAUUCCUUGGGCUCUUUCCCUUUCAAAUAA
RNAcentral lists this ribosomal RNA (789 nucleotides) under Triticum aestivum (bread wheat). RNAcentral describes it as "partial small subunit ribosomal RNA". The record is from RNAcentral. Lineage: Eukaryota; Viridiplantae; Streptophyta; Magnoliopsida; Poales; Poaceae.